This 253-nucleotide ribosomal RNA is filed under the name uncultured Eubacteriales bacterium. RNAcentral describes it as "uncultured Clostridiales bacterium partial 16S ribosomal RNA". It matches the Rfam family "Bacterial small subunit ribosomal RNA", at positions 524 to 776 of the family's 1533-position model. The record is from RNAcentral. Lineage: Bacteria; Bacillati; Bacillota; Clostridia; Eubacteriales.
UACGUAGGGGGCAAGCGUUAUCCGGAAUUACUGGGUGUAAAGGGAGCGUAGACGGUAAUGUAAGUCUGGAGUGAAAGGCGGGGGCCCAACCCCCGGACUGCUCUGGAAACUAUGUUACUGGAGUGCAGGAGAGGUAAGCGGAAUUCCUAGUGAAGCGGUGAAAUGCGUAGAUAUUAGGAGGAACACCAGUGGCGAAGGCGGCUUACCAGACUGCGACUGACGCUGAAGCACGAGAGCGUGGGUAGCGAACAGG